Molecule: ribosomal RNA, 506 nt
Filed under: uncultured bacterium
Lineage: Bacteria
Description: partial 16S ribosomal RNA
Rfam family: Bacterial small subunit ribosomal RNA
Source: RNAcentral
AUUGAACGCUGGCGGCAGGCUUAACACAUGCAAGUCGAGCGGUAACAGAGAGAAGCUUGCUUCUCUGCUGACGAGCGGCGGACGGGUGAGUAAUGCCUAGGAAUCUGCCUAGUAGUGGGGGAUAACUUGCCGAAAGGUAAGCUAAUACCGCAUACGUCCUACGGGAGAAAGGAGGGGACCUUCGGGCCUUUCGCUAUUAGAUGAGCCUAGGUCGGAUUAGUUAGUUGGUGAGGUAAUGGCUCACCAGGACCGCGAUCCGUAACUGGUCUGUGAGGAUGAUCAGUCACACUGGAACUGGGACACGGUCCAGACUACUACGGGAGGCAGCAGUGGGGCAUAUUGGAGAAUGGGGGGAACCCUGAUCCAGCCAUGCCGCGUGUGUGAAGAAGGUCUUAGGAUUGUAAAGCACUUUAAGUUGGGAGGAAGAGCAGUUAACUAAUAUGUGACUGUUUUGACGUUACCGACAGAAUAAGCACCGGCUAACUUCGUGCCAGCAGCCGCGGUAA